CAGCCUUCUUUGCCAUUUGGCUUGGAUUAAGGGUAUUCUGUUCAUCUUCAGCUUAGUAGCUGAGAGGCAUCCUACGGGGUGUCAUAAAGAUAACUAAUUUUUGGGCUCGGCCUUGGGAGCGCUGAGCUCAGCUCAUCUUCUCGGGCACAGUGUCGCCUCUAUUGCACUGACUGGGGCUGACGCGAAUGAUC
This 191-nucleotide small nuclear RNA is filed under the name Macrophomina phaseolina MS6. RNAcentral describes it as "U2 spliceosomal RNA". It matches the Rfam family "U2 spliceosomal RNA". From Rfam's summary of the family: U2 is a small nuclear RNA (snRNA) component of the spliceosome (involved in pre-mRNA splicing). Lineage: Eukaryota; Fungi; Ascomycota; Dothideomycetes; Botryosphaeriales; Botryosphaeriaceae. The record is from Rfam by way of RNAcentral.